RNAcentral lists this ribosomal RNA (981 nucleotides) under Triticum aestivum (bread wheat). RNAcentral's name for it is "partial small subunit ribosomal RNA". The record is from RNAcentral. Lineage: Eukaryota; Viridiplantae; Streptophyta; Magnoliopsida; Poales; Poaceae.
AUGUAUAACCUUCCUCCUUGGAUGUGCAUGGAGCGGAAGUUCAUUAUGAUGCCAGUUCUCAUCCAAGGCCCUAAGAAACCCGGCAACGACAUUGAUGUGUACCUAAGGCCAUUAGUUGAAGAACUUUUACAGCUGUGGAAUGGAAAUGGUGUACGUACGUGGGAUGAGCACAAACAGGAGGAAUUUCACCUAAAGGCGUUGCUGUUUGUGACCAUCAACGAUUGGCCCGCUCUCAGUAACCUUUCAGGACAGACAAACAAGGGAUACCACGCAUGCACGCACUAUUUACUUGACACCGAUAGUAUAUACCUGGGAAGCUGCAGGAAGAAUGUGUACCUGGGCCAUCGUCGAUUUCUUCCGACCAACCAUCAAUGUCGAAAUAAAGGCAAGCAUUUCAAAGGUGAGGCAGAUCACCGGAAGAAGCCCGCCAUGCGUACCGGUGAUCACGUACUUGCUAUGGUCAAUGAUUUACACGCUGGGGGACACGCACCCAUGUGGAAGAAGAAAUCUAUAUUUUGGGACCUACCCUACUGGAAAGACCUAGAGGUCCGCUCUUCGAUCGACGUGAUGCACGUGACGAAGAACCUUUGCGUGAACCUGCUACGCUUCUUGGGCGUAUAUGGGAAGACAAAAGAUACAGCUGAGGCACGGGAGGACCUGCAACGUUUGCACGAAAAAGACGGCAUGCCUCCAAAGCAGUAUGAAGGUCCUGCCAGCUAUACUCUUACCAAAGAAGAGAAGGAAAUCUUCUUUGAAUGCCUGCUUAGUAUGAAGGUCCCGACUGGAUUCUCGUCGAAUAUAAAAGGAAUAAUAAAUAUGGCAGAGAAAAAGUUUCAGAACCUAAAGUCUCAUGACUGCCACGUGAUUAUGACGCAACUGCUUCCGGUUGCAUUGAGGGGGCUUCUACCGGAAAACGUCCGAUUAGCCAUUGUGAAGCUAUGUGCAUUCCUCAAUGCAAUCUCUCAGAUGGUGAUCGCUCGA